RNAcentral lists this ribosomal RNA (274 nucleotides) under uncultured bacterium. Its description in RNAcentral is "partial 16S ribosomal RNA". It matches the Rfam family "Archaeal small subunit ribosomal RNA", at positions 473 to 747 of the family's 1478-position model. The record is from RNAcentral.
AAACCAGCACCUCAAGUGGUCAGCAUGAUUAUUGGGCCUAAAGCAUCCGUAGCCGGCUCUGUAAGUUUUCGGGUAAAUCUGUAUGCUCAACGUACAGGCUGCUGGGAAUACUGCAGAGCUAGGGAGUGGGAGAGGUAGACGGUACUCGGGAGGAAGUAGUAAAAUGCUUUGAUCUCUCGAUGACCACCUGUGGCGAAGGCGGUCUACCAGAACACGUCCGACGGUGAGGGAUGAAAGCUGGGGGAGCAAACCGGAUUAGAAACCCGAGUAGUCC